AAUACCCUAUUAUUUUAAAAGUAAUUAAAUAAAUCUAAUUAGUAAUAGUUAAGUUCUUGAAAAUUAAAGAAUUUGGCGGUAUUUUAGUCUAUUCAGAGGAAUCUGUCCUAUAAUUGAUAAUCCACGAUUUUUUAUACCUAAUUUAUUAAUUUACAUAUCGCCGUAGUUUGAAUAUUUUUUGAAAAUUAUAAUAUUCAUAAUUUAUUUUGAUAAAAAAAAUCAGGUCAAGGUGUAGUUUAUGGUUAGGAAGAGAUGGGUUACAAUAAAAGUACUUAUUAUGGAUUAAAAAAUUAAAUUUUUUUAUGAAGGUGGAUUUGAAAGUAAUUUUAUUUA
RNAcentral lists this ribosomal RNA (333 nucleotides) under Laparocerus dissimilis infernalis. RNAcentral describes it as "partial 12S ribosomal RNA". Lineage: Eukaryota; Metazoa; Arthropoda; Insecta; Coleoptera; Curculionidae. The record is from RNAcentral.